This 557-nucleotide ribosomal RNA is filed under the name uncultured Novosphingobium sp. Its description in RNAcentral is "bacterial SSU rRNA". It matches the Rfam family "Bacterial small subunit ribosomal RNA", at positions 102 to 694 of the family's 1533-position model. Lineage: Bacteria; Pseudomonadati; Pseudomonadota; Alphaproteobacteria; Sphingomonadales; Sphingomonadaceae. The record is from RNAcentral.
ACGGGUGCGUAACGCGUGGGAAUCUGCCCUUGGGUUCGGAAUAACAGUUAGAAAUGACUGCUAAUACCGGAUGACGUCUUCGGACCAAAGAUUUAUCGCCCAAGGAUGAGCCCGCGUAAGAUUAGCUAGUUGGUGGGGUAAUGGCCCACCAAGGCGACGAUCUUUAGCUGGUCUGAGAGGAUGAUCAGCCACACUGGGACUGAGACACGGCCCAGACUCCUACGGGAGGCAGCAGUGGGGAAUAUUGGACAAUGGGCGAAAGCCUGAUCCAGCAAUGCCGCGUGAGUGAUGAAGGCCUUAGGGUUGUAAAGCUCUUUUACCAGGGAUGAUAAUGACAGUACCUGGAGAAUAAGCUCCGGCUAACUCCGUGCCAGCAGCCGCGGUAAUACGGAGGGAGCUAGCGUUGUUCGGAAUUACUGGGCGUAAAGCGUACGUAGGCGGUUAUUCAAGUCAGAGGUGAAAGCCCGGGGCUCAACCCCGGAACGGCCUUUGAAACUAGAUAGCUAGAGUCUUGGAGAGGUUAGUGGAAUUCCGAGUGUAGAGGUGAAAUUCGUAGA